Molecule: long non-coding RNA, 3919 nt
Organism: Anopheles gambiae (African malaria mosquito)
Lineage: Eukaryota; Metazoa; Arthropoda; Insecta; Diptera; Culicidae
Exons: 2
Source: RefSeq, a predicted model, not a curated record
CCGCCAGCUGAAAUGGGCAAAGAAGAAAAAAUGACCACUUAAUCAAAUAAUAAGCAAUAUAUUUAGCUUUCGCUCGGAUGGUGUACGUGUGUGGCGGUGGAGGAGGUGUGGCCUCUUUGCUUGCGUGACACUGAUGAAGAGAUUAACAAAAUGCCCUUUUAAAGGAGAGUUGUUUUUUUUUUUACACUGGCCCGAUCUGGCGCUUCGCGUUGCAUAAGAUCCUCGUUAAUCACGUCACACGGCUGGGGUAAAGUUUACGCAAACAACGAGGUCCGUGUUAUUGGGGUCCGACCGUUUCGCUGACGUUUUGAGCCUGAGGAUGUGCUUGAUAAUAACCAUUCGUGUGAGCGUGAAUGUUUACACAAAGCAUCCUUUCUCACACAAAGGCGGGGUGUGUGUACACGUAGUGAGCUACGUAAGCAGAUUUGUGUUUCACUUACCACCGUCCGAUCCUAAAUGGGCGAGAGUGAAGGUGCCCUCGCAAGGGCCAAUCUACAUCCAUCUUUCUUCGGUUAGAAAAUGACAAUAUUAUACAACUUGUAGACACUCCACCCGGUCAUCUUCGGGACGACCGCAAUCAGCAAUCAUGGUGAUCGUAUUCUGGUCCCCUCAGGAGGAGAAGUCAGGAGUGUGCGGAUGGAGAUGUGGUUUGACGUUGAUCUGAUUGGGCUGAUGAUGAGUGGCGAUCGAAUAAUUUCAUUUAAUUGUUGAGCCACUCGAAUAGAGCAAUCAGCUCGGAAACAAUCGAUGUCUGGUCAAUAGACUCGGCUCGGUGUGACUAUGUAGGUGCAUCGUACACCAAGGGCUAUGAUUUGCUGUGCAGUGUGUGGUUGCAAUGUUAAUUACCGGCCAGUGUACCCGGGCUGUAAUGACACGGUAGCUGAUAGAUACGGCGUUAAAGUGUUGUAUGCCUGGUUGUGCAAUUGUUAUAAAUAUUUAUAGAAUGAUUUUAACAAUAUAAGUGGAUUUUAUAAAUAACCAAUGCACAUGUUCUGUAUGCUCUAUGGUUCUAGUAGGGAAUGUAUCGUAAAAUAAAAAUCCCAGUGCUAAUGUUGAUGCUAAUGCAUUGUUAAUGCACGUAGAAGUGAUAACUAAUCACUAGCUACUUUGUUAUUGCCUGGCUUGGCUUAGAGGUGACACUGGAAUCACGAUGCUCUUAUAUCACUGUUUCAUUGUUGAUUGAGAAUGAGUUAUUUUGAAGCAACAAACAGGUCCGGAAAGAGGGUCAGACAUUGGAACUCAGAAGUGCAUAGAAUCAUUGGGGUGUAUGCAAAAAUAUGGCUUUCAUCCCACUGAAUCACUGACUUGAUUUCUGUUCCUAUUUUCACUCUCUGUGCUAGUUACUGUAUAUAUCCGAGGUUCAGUCAUAAUUACUGCCGCCGUUCCUGGAGUACUAUCUAGUUCUGUAUUUUCUAUUUUCCUGCUUCUUUUUUUGGAUUUGAUACAGUGUACAGUUUAUAGAUUAGAGUGGCAUUCAUUUAUCUCUAUGCACGUUCUGGUCGUAGAAUCGUAACAUAUUCUUAGUUUAGUUUAUUAUAAGUAAUAAUUGUCCUUAUUCUUGGUUCCUAUUUUUAAUCGUUUUCCCAUAAUAUUACCUCGGAAGAGGUCCCCACUCUAUUUUGAAUCAUUCUUUAUCUGUGUUCUUGGUUCCAACAUAUGUUCUAGGCAAUACUUGUCAAUACCAAUGUUUUGAAAUCCUGAUCCAAUGUUUUGAAAAUAAACUGAAGGCACAUUCCACAUAAAUUAAAGUUAUAUAUCCAUGCACUUGCUUUGUCUUUUUUGAAGUUCUCUUUCUGUUGAUCUAUUAUAACAUUCUUACUGAGAAACGAUCGCUUACUACAGUAAGAUGUUUGAAAUUAUAUUGAAUCUCCCGACAUGUCGCUAUGUAAGACUAACCGUUUCUACGAUUAAUCCAUGCCACUCGUUUACGACUUACGCACCCAAGGUUAAGCAGUGUUAACUCUUACCACAUGGAGCUGAACAUCAAUACAAUAAUGGGACUCAUUUCUCUUCUGUGAACGGCGCGGAUCGCUCAAGUAGAGUGCCACACGCAACUCCAUCAUAUAUGCCCUUCAUUCGUGGUGACACUCGUUCUACAAGUGGCAUUCAGCUGCGUUGUUCGGCUGUUCGAGAUCGGUUUAGAUUUUAUUGGGCCUAGGCCUAUUUACAUGUUUGUGCAGUGUCCUCCUUCUCCGUGGUUCGCCAGCAGGAAAAAUGGAAAGACAUUUCAACCAAAACAAAACCACCAUACUACUGGGCAAGUUGUAAGUGCACCAAACAAAGGGGGAGAGAAAUGCAUGGGCAUACACGUGUGGGAUACAUUGCCAUCAUAUGUUGCUCCGGUUUGUGGCCUGGUUACAAUCAAGUCGCUACGAUCUGCUUUUUGCUGCGGGUUUGCGGGGAGGCUUCUUCUACAAUGUGUGUGUGUGUGUGUUUUUGUUGCUUUUCUGCCGUUUACCAUGAUCGGAUCCUCUUUUCUCUUGAUACUGGCUGGUUAGUUGGUUGGUUGGUUGGUGGUGGCAGCUGGCAACAGCAUGGAUCGAAUGUGCUUUGUCUCAUGAUGAUGGGUUCGCUUCCACUGGCCACCCGUUUCACUCCAAUCCUAUGCUGUAGGACAAAAUGUUGUGCGAUCGCUGCGGUUGUUGUGGCGUUCAUCUGCCUACGAAGCGUGUAGUGUCGUCGGUGGUAUGUGUAGUUCGCCAUUUUCAAGUUGCCUGCUAUGUUUCGCCUGCAUCAAUCGCACACACACACACACACACACUGAUACUCGCAUUCUGCCCGUGGUAGCAUAAAAAGAAGUGACACAAAUAAUGAUAAAGUGACAGCGCUUGUAGUGCAAAAAAGGAGGCCAGAGCGGGGAGACAAAAAAAAACGGAGUAACUAAAUAAAUUAAGCUCGUAUGAAGCGACCGUGCAUCGCGGGGCCCGACACGGGGGCAUCUCGUUUCGUUUGUCGCCGCUUGCCAAGGGGAUGAGAAAAUACGAUCCCACGGGUUUGAAGUGAAGUUUGUUGCGAAGAAAACAACAGCACCGGCAGUGACGCGAUGCGAUCAGACAAGCCUGCUGACGGGUGAAUCCGGGAAUGUUGGUUUUAUGACGUCUUAUCAUGCCGCGUGUCGUGUCUUCUCGAGUCUUCACCGAACAGAACAGAGCACCCUUAGUCUAGAACGAUCAAACAAACGGCUGCAGCAAUAACCACUUUACAAGAGAAGCAGGCAGGGCGCAGAGAGUAAACAACUUCUUCAGCAGACAUUCCUGAAGAGCAUCUGACCAUAUGAGCGUCGCAUCUCUCGAACAAUCCAUAAAAAGAAGAAACCGAUCUUAAGCCAACACGACAGCAAACGAAAUGGAGACAAGUUUUCUUCCGAUUUGUAUUGGUAAGAGAAUGUUGGGCUUUGAGUGAGAAAACUUUCAAAGCAAACGAUUAUAUAAUGAAGCUCAUAGUGAUGAACCUUCUGGCUGGGACGGCUGGCGGACGUCUUAAACCGGCUCUCUGUCAACGAAUCACACUCACAAGCAUCAUCAUCAAGCAGCAACAGCAGCAGCAGAGGCAGUUUGCCUAAUGUCAUUAAAGCCAAAUCGCCAAAUCUCGACUGCUUUUAAUGUCCCUUGCGUCCUCCUAUCCACCUUGUGGGGAGAACUUAUGAUGGGGCUGUUAAGGUUCCCAAGUGGUAGCGUCACAUUUACGUCGAUUUCAGCUAAACUCCAUCACUCCAAAAACGAACUCCAAGAUCUGUAAGCACACGCGCACCAACACACUUGCCUAUUGGCCACGAAGGCCAUAAAGCCGCGGUGAAGGCUAGCUGGGGUUGGUUUGGUCGGUUUUCGCCAGCAUGAUGAUGAUGGUGUGCCCGGUCGUUGACGCUGCGCUGCUGCACGUUCUGUUGUCGAACUUUUAUCUAUACGGCUGGAAAUUCAAA